ACAACUUAACUUUCAUUACAACUUCCAACAAAAGACAAUUAAUUUUUCAUAAUAACAAACAAACAGAGAAUAAAGUAUUACAAAAACUAAUUUCUUCAAUAAUUUAAUUACUUGUCUCAUUUCAAUUAUAGCAGGAUCAUGCAUAAUGAAAUUAUUUGGCAGCUGCAUUUUCCAUUCGGGCACGCAUAGUAGAUUCGACCUUCAUUUCCAUUCUUAUUGGAACGGGUUAUUUUACAAAUUACAAAUUAUUUUUCUACAAAAAAAAUUGUUUGUCAAUGAAUAUAAAGUUAACACAGCCGAACGAAUAGACUUUCAUGGUUAAAAAUAAUAAUAAAUCAAUAUGUCAUAAGUUCCAGCUUUCGUUCCAACUAAGGAUCUAGCAAAAACAUAACAUAUCGAUCUGAUACAUAUACUUUAUUUCAAAAAACAAACAGAAAAAUUGAUCACUUCAUCAAUCAAAGAGAUCUAAUUGGGAAUUUAGGCUUAUGAGAGAGUAAUGGAAGGAGGAUGAGGAUACGAAAUGUGAAGAGGUACCUUGAAAGCUGGUGAUUUUGGAUCUCACUUUGUUCCAGGAGGAAGUUUGUUCCAGCGGCAGCGAAACAACAAGUUUGGCCUGAGAGAGAGUUUGCUAGAGAGAGAGAGAGAAUGUUUGGUAACGGGUGAUUUGAAAGUUUUUUUUUAUUUUCUCUUCUUUAUUGAUACUGAUGUGGCACAGCCACAUCAUCCGGUCGCCAACCCCGGUCCCGAAAUCCGCUCUCCCCAAAAUUAUUGUACAAAUUAUAUAAUCACUGAAGUGGAAAUGAAUUCAUUCAUACAUCCACCUUGAGGACAAGGUAAUUUUUGGAGAGCGGAGUAUUGUUACACUCCUUGACAUUGUGCAGCUAAGAGGUGCAUUGGAUAGAUU
This 904-nucleotide long non-coding RNA is filed under the name Panax ginseng (ginseng). RNAcentral's name for it is "long non-coding RNA (PGIN_LNC005729)". The record is from RNAcentral. Lineage: Eukaryota; Viridiplantae; Streptophyta; Magnoliopsida; Apiales; Araliaceae.